GCCAUCGUGCUCACCGGCACGGGAAAGAAGGGAGAGAAGAGAGGGAGAGGAGGGAGACCUUACCACAACCUCCGGUGACCCCCACCGGCGUGCAAUCGCGGCGAACACGGGUCGAGGAGUCACGGCUUCAAACGGAAAAAUCGGAGAAAAUCUUCGGCAAUCGACGGCGACUGAAGGGUCUACCCAUAGAGGAGAGAGGGGGGUUUCUUAUAGGGUUCGUCCUAGGGUCUUUUAAUGGCCCUAGGACUCCGAUUCUUGAUCGGAGAAGAGGAAGACUCCGAU
This 282-nucleotide long non-coding RNA is filed under the name Elaeis guineensis (African oil palm). RNAcentral's name for it is "long non-coding RNA (EGUI_LNC015835)". Lineage: Eukaryota; Viridiplantae; Streptophyta; Magnoliopsida; Arecales; Arecaceae. The record is from RNAcentral.